RNAcentral lists this ribosomal RNA (250 nucleotides) under uncultured bacterium. Its description in RNAcentral is "partial 16S ribosomal RNA". It matches the Rfam family "Bacterial small subunit ribosomal RNA", at positions 524 to 773 of the family's 1533-position model. The record is from RNAcentral.
UACGUAGGUGGCGAGCGUUAUCCGGAAUUACUGGGUGUAAAGGGUGAGUAGGCGGGAGAGCAAGUCAGAUGUGAAAUGCAAAGGCUUAACCUUUGAAUUGCAUUUGAAACUGUUUUUCUUGAGAGUCGGAGAGGUAAUCGGAAUUCCUAGUGUAGCGGUGAAAUGCGUAGAUAUUAGGAGGAACACCAGUGGCGAAGGCGGAUUACUGGACGACAACUGACGCUGAUACACGAAAGCGUGGGGAGCAAAC